This 484-nucleotide ribosomal RNA is filed under the name uncultured bacterium. RNAcentral describes it as "partial 16S ribosomal RNA". It matches the Rfam family "Bacterial small subunit ribosomal RNA", at positions 30 to 507 of the family's 1533-position model. The record is from RNAcentral.
UUGAACGCUGGCGGCAGGCUUAACACAUGCAAGUCGAGCGGGGAAAGGUAGCUUGCUACCUGACCUAGCGGCGGACGGGUGAGUAAUGCUUAGGAAUCUGCCUAUUAGUGGGGGACAACAUCUCGAGAGGGAUGCUAAUACCGCAUACGUCCUACGGGAGAAAGCAGGGGACCUUCGGGCCUUGCGCUAAUAGAUGAGCCUAAGUCGGAUUAGCUAGUUGGUGGGGUAAAGGCCUACCAAGGCGACGAUCUGUAGCGGGUCUGAGAGGAUGAUCCGCCACACUGGGACUGAGACACGGCCCAGACUCCUACGGGAGGCAGCAGUGGGGAAUAUUGGACAGUGGGGGGAACCCUGAUCCAGCCAUGCCGCGUGUGUGAAGAAGGCCUUUUGGUUGUAAAGCACUUUAAGCGAGGAGGAGGCUACCGAGAUUAAUACUCUUGGAUAGUGGACGUUACUCGCAGAAUAAGCACCGGCUAACUCUGUG